UACACACCGCCCGUCACACCGUGGGAGUUGGUUCUACCCGAAGAUGGUGCGCUAACCGCAAGGAGGCAGCCAGCCACGGUAGGGUCAGCGACUGGGGUG
This 99-nucleotide ribosomal RNA is filed under the name uncultured bacterium. RNAcentral's name for it is "partial 16S ribosomal RNA". It matches the Rfam family "Bacterial small subunit ribosomal RNA", at positions 1384 to 1482 of the family's 1533-position model. The record is from RNAcentral.